Non-coding RNA from Pelobates cultripes (western spadefoot toad), 380 nucleotides. Lineage: Eukaryota; Metazoa; Chordata; Amphibia; Anura; Pelobatidae. The record is from the annotation of a GenBank genome assembly.
UUUUUGCCAGGAUUUGAUGUCCACCAACAUGCUCACUGUGCCAAAGCUUAUAUAACAAUUGGUUUUCUUAGAGAAAUCCAAUUAUAUGUUAAUACUGAUUAUUGUCAAAUUUAUACCUGGACCUCCAGAUUAAAUAAUCCUCACACCAAGAACCUUUGAAUUUCCAUCUUUUCGUAGGUGUGUUUAAAUGCUUCUCAACUGAUGGGAAAGGCGUGUAUCUGAGUUAUGAGCAGGUAAGUUAUAUUUCAUGUUUCUGAAAGAUUCAAAAUAAUUUUUCUAACAUAUGGAGUAAUCUGAUAAAUUUCCUGAAAUGUGGAGUAAUCUGAUAAAUUUCCUGAAAUCUGGAGUAAUCUUAUCGAUUUCCUGAAAUCUGGAGUAAU